This 468-nucleotide ribosomal RNA is filed under the name uncultured bacterium. RNAcentral describes it as "partial 16S ribosomal RNA". It matches the Rfam family "Bacterial small subunit ribosomal RNA", at positions 28 to 507 of the family's 1533-position model. The record is from RNAcentral.
GACGAACGCUGGCGGCGUGCUUAACACAUGCAAGUCGAACGGAAAGGCCCUGCUUUUGUGGGGUGCUCGAGUGGCGAACGGGUGAGUAACACGUGAGUAAACUGCCCUUGACUUUGGGAUAACUUCAGGAAACUGGGGCUAAUACCGGAUAGGAGAUCCUGAUGCAUGGUGGGGGUUGGAAAGUUUCGGCGGUUGGGGAUGGACUCGCGGCUUAUCAGCUUGAUGGUGGGGUAGGGGAUUACCAAGGCUUUGAAGGGUAGCCGGACUUAGAGGGUGACCGGCCACAUUGGGACUGAGAUACGGACCAGACUGCUACGGGAGGCAGCAGUGGGGAAUCUUGCACAACGGGCGGAAGCCAGAUGCAGCAACGCCGCGUGCGGGAUGCCGGCUUUCGGGUUGUAAACCGCUUUCGCCUGUGACGAAGCGUGAGUGACGGUAAUGGGUCAAGAAGCACCGGCUAACUACGUG